Long non-coding RNA from Columba livia (rock pigeon), 2812 nucleotides. RefSeq lists it as uncharacterized. The transcript has 6 exons. The record is from RefSeq and is a predicted model, not a curated record. NCBI's taxonomy places the organism in Eukaryota, Metazoa, Chordata, Aves, Columbiformes, Columbidae.
AGAGGAACCCGGCGACGCAGGAAGAUCCCCGUUAGCGCGCGUGGCGUUUUCUUCCGUCGAAGAUGGGUUCGGUCCCUCGGCCCUCUGAAAGCUAAGUGGAGGCACGGGGGCUGGGGAGGGGCUGGGAAUCGCAGGGACGGGGGGUUUAGCUCCGCUAAGGGCAAGGGCCGUCCAGUAAGCAGGUGGGGCGGUGCGUGGUGUCAAAGGGAAGAUGUGCCUCGUGCCUUUAUACUGUGUGCUCGCUCUGCUUAACGAGCGUGCGUUUUCUUGUGUUGCUGUAGAUGUUGAGGAGGAACCCGGUGAUGCUGGAAUAUCCCUGUCAGCGCACGUGGCGUUUUCUUCUGUUGAAGACGGAUUCAGUUUCUUGGCCCUCUGAAAGCUAAGUGGAGGCUGGGGGCCUGGGAAGGGGCUGAAAACUGCAGGGAGGGGGGUUAAGUUCCGUUCGGGGCAAGGGUUCUCCGGGAACAGUCUCCCUUGGGCAGGUGAAGGGUCCAGGGAAUUUCACAGCGCGAUGCCAGCGUGUGCCGGGCAGGGCAGCUCCAGCCAACGUCUGCGUCGCUGUGUAGUUCGGGAAGCCUGCCUUGCGCCUGUGAGACGAUCCUGGGGUCUCGUUGCUUUCCAGGGGCAGGAAAGGCCUCUCGGGUGCCACCCCGGGAUCUGGAACGCCGGUGCCGAUCGGGCGCUGGUUUUCUGGUGUCGGCAGCCGAAAGCGUGGCGGGUUCUUGCCUUUGGGCCAUUUCUGGUCAGGGCUGUUUGCGGCGUUGUCCUGGGCUGUGCCGGCAGCCGUGCUCUCUACCCAUCCAGUCUAAGGGACUGGAACUUCAAGAUGCUGGGAAGAAGUUCUUAGGUGUUGCAGCAGCUUCUCCUUUGGUUGCAACGUCUCUGCUCGGUUGUGGCGCUGCCGCCGUCUUGUCAGGAGCCGGGACAUUGGGCUCCUUUUCCGUUUGGGGUUGCAGGAGAGGCUCCUCGCCUCACCGUAGAUUAUUGGGAUCGAUGCCCGUCUGGUCUCGGAGCGUCGUGUUCGUCGUGGAGCAUUUUUGGCGCUGUGGCUGUCGCGUGGUCUAUAAGGUUCUGCGGAGCGUCUGUCGGCCCGGGUGCGCGUUUGGCUCGGAGCUGCUCUGCCCGGACGCGUAGAGGCAGGGGAGGGUGGACGGAGCUCUGGCGGUCCCCGGUUAACCUGCUGACGCGUUAAAUUGCGUGGGCAGAGGCGGCGCGGUCAUCUGGGAUGGAGUAGCCGUGGGCAGGGGAGCGGAGGGUCCCCGCGCAGGCGUUUGAGAGCCUCCACGAGAGCUUGGGACGUUAUUGCGCCACAGAAAGCAGACCUGUGGGCUGGUCAGGCUGUUGAUGGGCUGCUGGGUGACUCGCUGAAUAACCUGAUUUCAGGAGCAGAGGGACAACUUGGCCCGGAAGAGCGACGGAGGAGGCGAGCUGUGCGCCGUAAGCAGGUGCGAAGCGAAGAGGAAAGCGGGCUGUCGGCAGCUCAGCUCCUCGGGCCAGGCGGCAGCUGAGCGUCUCGGCGGUCCGCGGCGUGGCAGUCAAAAGCAAGGGCGGCCGGGUGGGCGAGCGGCCCAGGCGCUUUGUGGGCCCUCUGGACCGGGAGGAGCAUUUGCGGCGUCACCAGCGCUGAGGGUUUGUGACCGCACCAGCGGCAGGACACACCGACCGGACCGCCCUGGAGCUCAGCAGGAGGUGCUGAAGAGGAACCCGGCGACGCGGGAAGACGGCCGUUGGCGCACGUGGCGUUUUCCUCUGCCGAAGAUGGGUUCGGUCCCUCGGCCCUCUGAAAGCUAAGUGGAGGCGUGAGGGCUGGGAAGGGGCCGGGAACCGCAGGGACGGGGGGUUUAGCUCUGCUAAGGGCAAGGGCCGUCCAGGAACCGCGCCCUUGGCGCGGGUCAAGGGCCCGGGGACCUUUACCGUGCGAUGCCAGCGUGUGCCGGGCAGGGCAGCUCCAGCCUGCGUCUGCGUUGUGGUGUAGUUCGGGAAGCCUGCCUUGCGCCCGUCAGCCGAUCCUGGGGUCUCGUUGCGUUCCAGGGGCAGGAAAGGCCUCUCGGGUGCCACCCCGGGAUCUGGAACGCCGGUGCCGAUUGGGCGCCGGUUUUCUGGUGUCGGCAGCCGAAAGCGUGGCGGGUUCUUGCCUUUCGGCCACUUCUGGUCAGGGGUGUUUGUGGCGUUGUCCUGGGCUGUGCCGGCAGCCGUGCUCUCUACCCGUCCAGUCUAAGGGACUGGCACUUCUUCCCAGCAUCUUGAAGGUUCUAAGUGUUGUAGCAGCUUCUCGUAUUUGCGCCGUCUCUGCGUGUUUGCGCCAGAGCUGCCGUCUCAUAAGGGGCCGUGACGUUCGGCUCUCAUUUUUCUGGGGUUGCAGUAGAGGCUCCUUGCCUCACCACUGCCUCCCCGCAGGUUAUUUUUACUGUUGCCGUCUCUGGUUCGGAGUCAUUUUUGUUGCGGAGCAUUUUUGGUGUUAUUGCUGUUGGGUCGUCUAUAAUGUUGCGUGGAGCAUCUGUCUAAGCACGUGCGCGUUUGGCUCGGAGCUGCUCUGCCCGGAGGUGUAGAGUCAGGAGCGGGCGGACUGAGUUUAGGAGUCCACGAUUGAUCUGUGGACACGUUUUCCUGCGUAGGCAGAGGUUGUGCGGUCAUCUGGGACGGAGUAGCCGUGGGCAGGGGAGUGGACAGUCCGUUCCCCAGUGGUCUUUGGGACUCAAUUAGACCUUCUUGUGGGAUUCCUGAAUAGAAAGCAGACCUGUGGAAUGGUCAAGCUGUUGAUGAGCUCCUGGGUAACUCGUUGAAUACCUUGAUUUCAGAUGCAGAGGGACAA